Non-coding RNA from Coturnix japonica (Japanese quail), 394 nucleotides. The record is from RefSeq and is a predicted model, not a curated record. Lineage: Eukaryota; Metazoa; Chordata; Aves; Galliformes; Phasianidae.
CCUGCUUACACCAUACACAAGAGAUCCAUACAGCAGGAUGGCAGGGAGAUUGCCAAGCAGAAACAAACCAGCAGCAUCCUCUCAGCUGGGAACGCAGCAUGGUCACGAGCCAUGUCAUGAGACAGGACAGUCUGGGAGCCACCCAGGAGGAGAAUGAGGUGCAGCUGUCAACCCCAGGGCUGUUUGGAGUGGCUGAAACAGCAGCAUAGUAAUGGACUGCAGUAGCAGAGGAGUUCAGCACAGCUUUAUCAAAUGGCUGCUUGGAUAGAGCAUAGAAACUGGAGAAGAUAGGCCUUGCUCUCCAUGCCUCAUGUGACAAUGUAGCCAGCCAAGCAGUUGACGUGAACUGGAGGUUUUGUGACCAUUUACCAUCCCUCAGCAGCAUGGACACACU